UAACGCGUGAGGAACCUGCCUCAAAGAGGGGGACAACAGUUGGAAACGACUGCUAAUACCGCAUAAGCCCACAGCUCGGCAUCGAGCAGAGGGAAAAGGAGUGAUCCGCUUUGAGAUGGCCUCGCGUCCAAUUAGCUAGUUGGUGAGGUAAUGGCCCACCAAGGCGACGAUCGGUAGCCGGACUGAGAGGUUGAACGGCCACAUUGGGACUGAGACACGGCCCAG
Molecule: ribosomal RNA, 225 nt
Filed under: uncultured bacterium
Lineage: Bacteria
Description: partial 16S ribosomal RNA
Rfam family: Bacterial small subunit ribosomal RNA
Source: RNAcentral